UGGGGAAUUUUGCACAAUGGGGGAAACCCUGAUGCAGCGACGCCGCGUGAUUUAGAAGGCCUUCGGGUUGUAAAAAUCUUUUCUAUGGGAAGAAAAUGACAGUACCAUAGGAAUAAGGACCGGCUAAUUACGUGCCAGCAGCCGCGGUAAUACGUAAGGUCCGAGCGUUGUCCGGAAUCAUUGGGCGUAAAGGGUACGUAGGCGGGUAAGCAAGUUAGAAGUGAAAUCCUAUAGCUCAACUAUAGUAAGCUUUUAAAACUGCUCAUCUUGAGGGAGUGAAGGGAAAGUGGAAUUCCUAGUGUAGCGGUGAAAUGCGCAGAUAUUAGGAGGAAUACCGGUGGCGAAGGCGACUUUCUGGCCAUAACCUGACGCUGAGGUACGAAAGCGUGGGUAGCAAACAGG
Molecule: ribosomal RNA, 402 nt
Filed under: bacterium
Lineage: Bacteria
Description: partial 16S ribosomal RNA
Rfam family: Bacterial small subunit ribosomal RNA
Source: RNAcentral